This 403-nucleotide ribosomal RNA is filed under the name uncultured bacterium. RNAcentral describes it as "partial 16S ribosomal RNA". It matches the Rfam family "Bacterial small subunit ribosomal RNA", at positions 30 to 526 of the family's 1533-position model. The record is from RNAcentral.
AUUGAACGCUGGCGGCAGGCCUAACACAUGCAAGUCGAGCGAGCGGCGGACGGGAGAGUAAGGUAUGGGGACUGCGAGAUAGAGGGGGAUAACUACUGGAAACGGUGGCUAAUACCGCAUACUAUCGGAUAACCCAUAUGGGAUUAGCUAGUAGGUGGGGUAAAGGCUCACAUAGGCGAAGAUCUCUAGCUGGUCUGAGAGGCUGAUCAGCCACAGUUGGACUGAGUCACUGCCCAGAUUCCUACGGAGGCAGCAGUAGGGAAUAUUGCACAAUGGGCGCAAGCCUGAUGCAGCCAUUCCGCGUGUAUGAAGAAGGCCUUAGGGUUGUAAAGUACUUUCAGCGGGGAGGCGUUACCCGCAGAAGAAGCACCGGCUAACUCCGAGCCAGCAGCCGCGGUAAUAC